This is a non-coding RNA of Cyanistes caeruleus (blue tit), 227 nucleotides long. The record is from RefSeq and is a predicted model, not a curated record. Lineage: Eukaryota; Metazoa; Chordata; Aves; Passeriformes; Paridae.
AAUCUGUGAUUUAAAAAUAGUAUGACAGGCUGGGCUGCUGCUGUUAAUGGGGAGAGAAGGAGCUGUGUGACGAAGAGACAUUGCAUCAGCUUUGCCAUGAAAGUAUUUUCCUUGAUGCGUGGUGACCUAAGCAGCUGUAAGGCAGGUUCAGCUGACCUACAUCGCACCAACAGCUUCACCCCUGCUGAAGUUUAAGCUUUUACUGAAGGCAAUAAAAGCACCCUGCA